This 21-nucleotide microRNA is filed under the name Gallus gallus (chicken). RNAcentral's name for it is "gga-miR-1680-3p (MIR1680)". The record is from RNAcentral. Lineage: Eukaryota; Metazoa; Chordata; Aves; Galliformes; Phasianidae.
CAGGCGGUAUCAAGAGGCUGA